RNAcentral lists this long non-coding RNA (1203 nucleotides) under Sarcophilus harrisii (Tasmanian devil). Its description in RNAcentral is "lncRNA (ENSSHAG00000030358.1)". Lineage: Eukaryota; Metazoa; Chordata; Mammalia; Dasyuromorphia; Dasyuridae. The record is from RNAcentral.
AUGGGUCUCCUUCCCCAGACUUCCAGGGGGAGAAGAAUAAGACAUCAAAGCGACUGGGCUGAAAAUGAGAAAAGCAUCUCGCACGGACACCUAAGGUGUAUUAACAGGGGAGAACGAAAGUCAGAGAUUUACACCUUCCUUCCAGGACCCUCUCCUCCAGAGUUCCCAACACUCCUACUUCAGUUUGGGGGGCCUGGGAGGGGAAAUAGGAAAAGAAAGUCUUCCCCAAAGAGCAGGCUCCUCAUACCUGUGCCCGGUGCCGUCCGGGCACACAGCCGAACUCGGGGGCAGGGAAGCGGGGGCCAGAGGAGGGCAGCUCCCGGGAAUGAAAGAGGGAAAAGCACCGGCCUCAGAGAGCCCGAGGCCAGGGGCUGUAUGGGAUCUCUGGCCUGGGGCCCCGGGGGCACGGAGGGGAGGGCAGACGGGCACUUGUUCUCCCAGGGGGUCGCUGCCCGCCCCUCGCCCCCACCCCCUUCUACUUCCUUUUCUCCUCGCCCACUCCCGACCCCGAGGGCCCUUCCUCUGUCACGGUGGGGACGGCGGUGGGGGCUCGGGCCCGGUGACACAGCUCGGGAUGGAUCCCCUCCCCCCGCGGGGGGGAAUGAGACCUGCAGACGCCCGUGCGGCGGGUGCUCCCUCCGCAUGCUCCCCCGGGCUCCGGCCCCGAAGCCUCUGCCCAGGCCGGCGGGAGGCGGCGGGCGCGGGGAGUGCGGGGGACGGCCCACGGCGGGGCGCGCGCAGACCGCGCGGGGAAACUUUGCAGGGGUCAGCGCGGGGAGCGGGCGGGCGGGGCCGGUACCUGGGUCCGGGGAUGCGCCGCGGGGGCCGCCGGGCGGCGGCUCGUCCUCCUCCGGCUGCGAGUCCGGGCGCGGCACGCUCCGGGGCCUCCCGGGCCCCCUCCCGCGGAGCCUCCGUCACGCCGCGCCGCCCGGAGCCCGGCGCCGGCCAGCGAGACUGCCGAGGCUCCGGCCGCGGCUGCGGCUCCGGCGGCUGCAAAACAGCAACCAGCCCCGCCCCCAGUUGCCUGGCCCGGCCCGGCCCGGGCGCUGGAGCCGGGUAACAGCCCCCCACGCGCGCGCGCGCGCCGCCGCCGCCGCCGCAGCCUCGCCAUUGGCCGGGCCGCACAGGGGGCCGUCCCCAUUGGCCGAGCCCAGGGGCGGGAGGCCGCCCCCGAAGCCCCCCGCCCCCCGCCUCCCUACCUGA